This 510-nucleotide ribosomal RNA is filed under the name uncultured bacterium. RNAcentral describes it as "partial 16S ribosomal RNA". It matches the Rfam family "Bacterial small subunit ribosomal RNA", at positions 28 to 507 of the family's 1533-position model. The record is from RNAcentral.
GACGAACGCUGGCGGCGUGCUUAACACAUGCAAGUCGAACGAAGAGCGAUGGAAGCUUGCUUCUCUCAAUCUUAGUGGCGCACGGGUGAGUAACGCGUAAUCAACCUGCCCUUCAGAGGGGGACAACAGUUGGAAACGACUGCUAAUACCGCAUACGAUCUAAUCUCGGCAUCGAGGAUAGAUGAAAGGUGGCCUCUACAUGUAAGCUAUCACUGAAGGAGGGGAUUGCGUCUGAUUAGCUAGUUGGAGGGGUAACGGCCCACCAAGGCGAUGAUCAGUAGCCGGUCUGAGAGGAUGAACGGCCACAGUGGGACUGAGACACGGCCCAGACUCCUACGGGAGGCAGCAGUGGGGAAUCUUCCGCAAUGGACGAAAGUCUGACGGAGCAACGCCGCGUGAGUGAUGACGGCCUUCGGGUUGUAAAGCUCUGUUAAUCGGGACGAAAGGCCUUCUUGCGAAUAGUGAGAAGGAUUGACGGUACCGGAAUAGAAAGCCACGGCUAACUACGUG